This 520-nucleotide ribosomal RNA is filed under the name uncultured Paraglomus. Its description in RNAcentral is "SSU rRNA". It matches the Rfam family "Eukaryotic small subunit ribosomal RNA", at positions 569 to 1088 of the family's 1831-position model. Lineage: Eukaryota; Fungi; Glomeromycota; Glomeromycetes; Paraglomerales; Paraglomeraceae. The record is from RNAcentral.
AGCAGCCGCGGUAAUUCCAGCUCCAAUAGCGUAUAUUAAAGUUGUUGCAGUUAAAAAGCUCGUAGUUGAAUUUCAGGCCUGGCUGGACGGUCCGCCCUUCGGGUGAGUACUGUCUGUGGUCGGGUCCUACCUUCUGGCGAAGCGUCAUGGCCUUAACCGGCCGUGGCGGGGAACCAGGACUUUUACUGUGAAAAAAUUAGAGUGUUCAAAGCAGGCAAUCGCUUGGAUACGUUAGCAUGGAAUAAUGGAAUAGGACAAUGGUUCUAUCUGUUGGUUUCUAGGACCGUUGUAAUGAUUAAUAGGGAUAGUUGGGGGCAUUAGUAUUCAAUUGUCAGAGGUGAAAUUCUUGGAUUUAUUGAAGACUAACUACUGCGAAAGCAUUUGCCAAGGAUGUUUCUAUUAAUCAAGAACGAAAGUUAGGGGAGUCGAAGACGAUACAGAUACCGUCGUAGUCUUAACCAUAAACAUUGCCGACUAGGGAUCGGGCGUAUGUUGUUUCUAAUGACUCGCUCGGUCACCU